GACUACAGCCAUAUCACCCUGCAGCCCAAGACUGGUUAUUCACUGAUGCUAAGCAGGGCUGAGCCUGGUCAGUACCUGGAUGGGAGACCACUAGGGAACACUAGGUUGCUGUUGGAA
Danio rerio (zebrafish) is the source of this 117-nucleotide ribosomal RNA. Lineage: Eukaryota; Metazoa; Chordata; Actinopteri; Cypriniformes; Danionidae. The record is from Ensembl.